UUUGGAUUGUUGUCAUUCCCCUCAGAUGUGCCUCGGGGAGUGGGGUAUUACUUUGGAUUAUAAAGGAUAUACCAUCAUUUGUAUAUUCUGAUAACUGACCGAACAGUAUGAAGAAGCGGCUUGUGCACUGUCAGCGCCCACUAUUUCUAACACUACUGGUGUUUUACAUAGGAUUAGUGCUGUUUUCUCUGUUUAACUAUCGCAGCCACUGUACCUACACAAGCCCGGAGUCCCUUGUCCGGACACAUAUCCUCAACCCAGACAAAGCUGCACACAUCUGUCCAAUAAACUUUGAUAACCUGGAUGUGGUCCAUUUGGAUAUUUUCUCUGAACCAUCAUUUGAUCUGAUAAAGCAGAGGUAUCCACAUGUUGCUCUUGGUGGACAGUGGAAACCUCAGGGAUGUACCUCAUUUCAGAAGGUUGCAAUCAUAAUUCCUUACAGGAACCGUCUCCAUCAUCUUAAGAUCAUGUUGAACCGGAUUCAUCCUUUGCUAUGGAAACAGAACAUUGACUAUCAGGUGUUCUUAGUAGAACAGGCUGGUAAUGAUAGAUUUAACAGAGGAAAGCUGAUGAACGUUGGAUUUUACGAAGCCAUGAAGAUUGGAAAUUUUGAUUGCUUUGUUUUCCAUGAUGUGGAUCUUCUCCCAGAAAAUGACAAAAAUUUGUACAUGUGCGAUGAUCACCUCCGCCAGCUGUCCUCUGCUAUUGAUGAAACUAGAUAUCAUGUCAUGUACUUUAACUAUGCUGGAGGCGUGAUUGCUAUGAAGGCUGACAGCUUCAAAAAAAUCAAUGGCUACCCUAACUCAUAUUGGGGAUGGGGAAACGAGGAUGAUGAUAUUUCUGCACGAACACAAGAGGCAGGGCUGUUGAUUACACGACCCCCAGAGCACAUCGGCAUGUUCAAGAUGGUGCGCCAUGUCAAAGAGACGCGAUCUGAAAAUGGGUAUGAUGGAUUUCUUGGAUGGCGAGGCAGGUGGAUGCAUGAUGGCCUUACCAACCCAAUAACAAUGAACUACACGGUUAAACACCUAACGCAACAUCCCCUAUUCACGAAUAUCACCGCAGACAUUGGUCCCUCCGCUGGACACCGGAUUGACAUCACUAAGGACACGACGCGGGAAACAUUUUGGUGGUUUUUGAAAUUCUAUUUUCCAUGAAAAAGGAUGCAGAUGUUCAGUAUGUAUACGCAAAUAUACUCAUCCAGUGAGAAUAACCAAGAGCAGGACUCGAGAUAUGAUAGGUGGAUGUCAUUAUUAUGUUUGUAUGUGAGUCUACCUUAAUUUAUGAUGUAUGAUGAAAAAUUCCAUUGUUUGACGUUUAGUGUUUGUAUGUGAGAGUCCAUCAGAAGUUCUGGUGUAGGAAGAAAUAUUUCAUUGUUCAUUCCGUUUCGUGGUUAAAUGUGUCUGACUUGGAGUUUAAAGGGACAUUUUAGUAAGUUUGAUUUUUUCUUAAUGCAAAAUUCUAAAUAAAACUAAAUGCCAAAAUAUUGAAAAGAAAUGCAAUUUUCUUGGUAGUUAAAACCAAAUUACUAGGAAGUCUUUAAAGAUAUGCUUUUGUUUAAAUUUGAUUAUAUGAGUCUGUGAUACAUAUACAUUGUAUAUAUAUAUAUAUAUACGUGUAAUUCAUGCUUGCAUUGAAAAUUCUGUACAAGUGAAAUCAAACAUGGGGUGUCAUCAUGCCUUAUAGGGCCCAGAUGUUGCUAUUUCAGCUAUUUUCAAUGUAAGUAACAUUUUUCCUGGCUUUCUCAAAACGAAAAGUGACUUGGUGGGUUUUGUAUUACCAAGAUAUCAAUUUUUUGUAGUUUUUCUUUUGGGAGUGUUAUACAUGUAUUUUCAGUUCCAGGCUAUUUUUUAAAUCAGUUGACUUUAUGUUGAACUAAAUUAUCUCUUUAUAACUGUCUGUGACGUCCCAUAUCUUGAGUAAUGUUUGAUGUGGUAAUUAGAGGGAAAUUAUCAGUUCUAGUAAGUAAGAAAAAAAAUGGAAAUCCUCAGGGCUCAAUUCUAUCAAUCCAACACUGUAACAGAUUUAUUGACACCUGCUAGUAGUAAUUGACAGGGCAAUUUUUGGUACUUGAAUCAUUGUCAUGGAAAAUUUGGCAUUUCAAUGCAACAUUGAACAUUUGUCCAUUCAAACCAUGCAAAUUCAGUGUGUGUUGAAAUAUUUCUACUACAAAAAAUUAAAAAUAUUCUAUACAGAUUUAUCACUUUGAAUAUUUUUAAUACAAGCAUGAAAGAGUGUUGGCAUGGUUAUAUUUAAUUCAGCAGUUUCUAUGAUACCACACAUAUACAUAUUGUAAAUCUAUCUUUACUUGUUUGCUGUCUCAGUUCAUAAUAUAACUCAAUGUCAUUGUCAUCACUCGCAUUUUACAAAUAUCAAAGACACAGCAGCUCUGACUAAGGUUAUUUAUGAUCAAUAGAAUAUGCUGUAUGAUUUUAUACAAUAUCUUAAGUCACAUUCUCAAUGCUUCUGUCAGCCCUGGACAGUUUUCUUGUCUCUUCUAUCUUUCAAAGUAAAAGUGAAAAAAAUAAUUGCAUCACAAAGAAAUUCUAUCUUGCAGAUACCUCCAUAUUCCAUACACAGCUUUCAAAAUAACCAUUGUCAGAACACAUUUUUCCUGUGUUGGUGUUGAUCAGAUAUAUCUGCACUGCACAAGCCAUUUUAUGCUCAGACAUGACAAACAUUGUAUACAGUGUCAGGGCUGCAACAUCGAUUAAUUAACGAGUCGUUAGAUGUUAAUUUUUUUUAGCAACAGUUAAUGAUGUUAAACCUUAACAACUCGCUAACCAUGGUUUAAUGACAUCGCUAAGUUCAUAAAAGUUCUAAACACCUGGGCCCUGAAGGCACUUUAUGUAUGAAGAGAGUGCUGUAGAGGAGAUUCAUUUUUUUUAUACAAAAUGUUUAAAUUUUACUGACAUUCUACAAUUAGGCCAUUUUUGCUCUAAAUGAAUUUGAACCUGGAUAGAUUAUCCUUACUGUGGUACAGGUCCAUACAUUGGACAUAACAGUGUUAUCAUCCAUAGCUUGUGUUCUCAUUUUUAAAGUCUUGAUCAGGGUCACUUUUAAAAAUUUUAUACAUACGUACCUAGAUGGCAACAGUGUAAACUGCAUAUGAUGUCUCUCUUUUAUGAUUUUGGUAAUAUACACAAUAUUUGAAGUGCAUUUUUCCUCACCAUGGUUUUGAAUUAUGAUGUAUACUAUAUUCUGCAAUAAGCCCAGGAGGCUAAUUAAUAUAUUGUCUCUGAAUCAAAAUAAGCAGAUGGGCAGCAAUAGGAGACAGUGGGCUUACUACCGGGCAUGGACUUAUUGCCUAAAUCUGUAUACAUAGAUUCAGUGAAUGUCCCAAAUAUGCAUUGUUUUGAAGUAUAUUUAUGUGAAUGAGGAGAAAGUCCCAAUUGUACGAUAGCCUUCACUUUGGUGCUGUGAGUAGUCAUGUAUGUAUGUACUGUACUAUGAGUGAACACUGUAGUUUAUGAUAUAUGUAUGUAUAUAUUUUUCAAAAAAUGUUUCAGUUUAUGUGAAAAAAAAAAGUUUUCUGUUUAAGAGAAAUCAAUGUAUCUAUACAUUAAUUGUAAUUAUUUAUGUACACCUAUACACAUGUGAUACCUUUUUAUCCAUAUAUCAGAAAAAUCCAAAAUGUUUUUGAUUUAAACAUAUUUUAUUUGUAAAUUUACAAAUGGGAUCAGGCACAAAUUUAAGAACUUCUGAUUCGUCUUCUACUGCGAAACAUAAAGAAUGAAAUAUACAUAUGACCCACCAUAUGAUACGAGACAAUUUAUGGUUUCCUUGCUAUUUUGUCAUGGCCUUUACUGACAAGAGUUAUCCCCUUCAUUGAUUUUCAAUGUCUGCACCAUUAUCCUACAAUAAUCAACUUGUAUCACCAUUUGCAUUCAUAGGGCAACUAGCCAUCUAGAGCAUUUUGAAGUAUCAGGUGGUAGUAAUAUUUGCCUACUACCCUUUUCUUAUAGAGUUAACAUAAGGUCCUUUGUUUAUCAGUCUGAUUUUGAUUUCAAAUAUUUAGUCCUGUUUUGUAUUUUAUGAAAUGAUUUACAUAAGAUUUUAUUUACCCUCACCACUAAAAAUAUAAUGUAAACAUACCAUUUAUGUGAAGGUGGGUGAUGUUCGGUAAUACAUUUUUUUAUUAUCUGUGUAGAAGGGUAUAUAUAGGCCCCACCACCCAUCAAAUUUUAAUACAAGUGCCUCCUGCUCCUCCCUCUACUUCUGAAUCUUGAAUAGGCAUUCCAUGGAUGAUAAGCUCUUAAAUGGCCAUUGCAAGGAUGGUAAAGUAACAUUUUGUAUAUAGCUUUGGAUCUAUCCAUCAAAUUACUACAGGUGUAAAGUGGCAUUCUGUGAAGAAGAAAAAAACAAAAAAACGAGAGAGAAUUAAACUGAAACCUAUUUAUCUGUUUUGGCUGAGAAUAUACAAGUAUAUACCAUUACCUAUAUAAUGUGACAGUAAGAAGGGGCUAUAUGUAAUUAUAUCUCUCAAGACCCAAGACUUAUUCUGGAGUUUCCAGUUGAAGUCAGUGACCAUAGUCUUGGGCUGGAGCUCUCUGACAGUUGAGGUCAGUGGCCAUAGUCUUGGGCUGGAGCUCCCAGUUGUGGUCAGUGGCAAUCUCGACUGCAAAAUUUUGAUCUGAAACUGGAACAUUAUUAAAGCUUACUUCAUUACAGAAACAAUGCAGUAAUAGGAAGUUUUAAAAGAUAAAUAUGAUGGAAUUGAGAAGUAAAAAACCCAAAAAUCUCCACUUUGGAAAGACUUUCAAAAAUUGAAGAUUUUCGGUUUUCCAGUUUUAACCCCUUGAAUGGUAUAGAUUUCAAGUGCACUGCAAGUAGCAGGAUGUGUGGUUUAAAAUGUGGAAUAUGUGAUACUUAAUAUUGUGUGGAAUUUGUAUUGUGAUAAUAGUUUUUGUUAAUUUUUUGAGGAUUUUUGUGUACAUUGCUGUAAAUUAAUCUAAAGGAUGAAAUGUUUAUUUAUUUACUGUAAUCUACAUUCUCUAGAUCCAUUCCAAUCCGUAAUACAAUGUACUGUAUAUUGUUUAAUGUAAUUUUCAUUUCUUGAAGCUGGUAAGGAAUCUUGAAAAUGAAAUACAAUGUAUUUAGUUGAAAUAAUAGUCUAAUAUAAGACUACAAGAAGUGGUACCCAUGAAGUUCAUACCACAAACCAUUUCACAGCUAAGGUGAAAUGGGAAUGAUUUAGCUUAUAUAUCCAAAAAGAUGGAAAUCCUGCAGUAUAAAAUUCUUUUGUGGUUUCAGGCCCCACAAAUCUUGUGAUUAAGUAGGUAAAACUGUCACUGUGUAAUGCUAAAUUCUUAAUUGUUUUGAAGAAUUGUAAUAGCAUGUUCAAACAACUAAUGAGGCUUUGAAAAACUAUUUCUACUUUUAAACCAUUUUGAUGCAGAAACCGAGAGGUUAUGCCAUCAUGCACUGUUCAUUAUUUGGUGAAUAACCAUAUAAGAAACAACAACUGGAUUAUAGACAAGUUUGUAUUAGGUGACAUCAAACAAUAUUUUAUGUCUUAUAUUUGUGUUGAAGAGAAAAAGAUUAAAAAAUUGAAAUUUCAGAUGUUUUGAAAAUUUAAUGGGGUAAAUAUUCAGGCAUAGUUCAAACUCAAGUAUCGUGCACAGGUACUUACAAGGUAUUAUAAUUUUAUCUUAUAAAUAUGAAAAAUGGGGGGAAAAUGUUUGGGGGAUUUUUUUUUUAACUUGUACUGGCAGUAUGUACAGUUGACUUUUUCAUUUGUUGAUUCUUUUUUUUUUUUUGUAAUAAAUGUGUGCACUGUACAUGAAUAUUUACAGUGAUGAUGUUGAUAAAUAGAUAUAGGAUUAGGUAUGUGGGACACAUCUGUGUAAAUGAUGUAAUAGAAUAUCAUCAUAUCCAUCUUGUGUAUUGUAUCUACAGACAAUGCAAGUCACUAUUGACAUAUGUUCAUUGCGUGUGUGAUGUGUAUUCGGUGUAUUGGUUAGUGUUUUGAUCUCAAUAAUUUAUGUAAACAUUCCAAAUGUGACCCACGGGAAUUGAUAUGAAUUUUUUUCCAACAGUCCAUAUAUAUGUAUAUUUAUCAUAUAAUGGGUCUAUAUGGGAAGAGCUAACACCAUAACAAUGAUAAGCCGUUGCCUGGAUACCGCCCAGUAUGCAGGGCGAUUGAAGAAUAGGGACCAUAUUUUAUAGAAUCAUUGACAUCACAAUUAACAAUAUACAUUAUAUGGAAAUGUGCCCAGAUUUUGAAGUUCUUCAGCAGACAAAAUUUGUCAUUAAAUCGUCCUGAAGAAGCGAAAUAGAUUGACGUUUCUUUAUAAAGAAAAAUUAACUUAUCCCGAGAUUGUUGCAAUUUACUCCUAUACUUUGUGUACAGGUAUCAUAUGACAUGGACGAUGGGUUGGAAAUUUGUGCCUGUGAUUUGACCAUUUUCCUAUCCAUAACUUGUAUGAAUAUAUAUUUUUUUAAUCAGAUGAAUUUACUAUUGCCUUAUGUGGUUCUAAUGGCAUGUAUAAUGCACACAGACAAUAAAACUAUUUUAUGCUACUAAGUGGGUGGACACUUAAAGUGGUACCCUCCAUCCAGCUGUCCAGUCAUCCAUCCAUUAAACAGUUUUUAAGAAUUUGAAACACAGUCAGUCAUUGAUAAAGUUAUAACACAAAUGUACUCAAUUUUUUCUUGAAAGUUAUACAGGGGUCAAAUAUAGGGGUCAAAUAUCACUGUUAUGUAGUCAAAGUGAUUAUUUUUUCUAAUUUGGACACGAUUUUGACUUAUUUUUGGGUAAGAAGUUUACAGAGUAUGUAAUUUAUUCAUGAUAAGCACAUCGUCAGAUACCAAAGUUGAUUGCACUCCGCUAUGUGAAUACCUAAGGUUGAUUGCAUUGUGUAUACUUGCAUAGCGUAGUACAGUCAACUGUGGGUAUCCGACGAUGUGAUAAGUGAUACAAUGCUGUUAUUUUGCAUGCUGAGAUGUAAAACUGAUUUUUUUUUUCACUCCAACUUUUGGCCUGUUUUGGACUUUGGCGUAACCUUACAUUUAAAAGCUCCAGUUUACAAAUAUAUUUACAGUAAAUAUUAAAAUAAAUCUUUAUUAUAAUACUUGAUCAGUACAUGUACAUAUAUAUAUAUAAUAUUUUGGAUCUUUUAUUUGUUACUGCUAAAGAAUGCAUUUUUUUAAUAAUUCCACCUAGUGAAACUGUUUAUUUUACUGUUUUACAUAAACUGUGUUUAUGUGAAGGCAUUAAGUGUCACAGGAAUAAAUAAUUCUGUGACUUUAUUUAUAUUUACAACAUGGCAGUUUUGACUUUUACAUAAUGAAUUGAAGUAGUUUAUUUUCCCUGUUUAAGAACUCUUAUCGUUUACUAACGGUUUGGUGUAAUGUUAUUUUUAUUAACAUUCCAUGUAAACCUAUAUAUAGUAAGGUUUAAAGUACUGAAGAAACAUUCCAUGUACCAUCAGUUUUUUAUGACAUUUUAUUUAAUAAAUAUUAUUAUUCAAAA
RNA transcript from Pecten maximus, 7474 nucleotides. It is a transcript of the gene named beta-1,4-galactosyltransferase 3-like, with no coding region annotated. The record is from RefSeq and is a predicted model, not a curated record. Lineage: Eukaryota; Metazoa; Mollusca; Bivalvia; Pectinida; Pectinidae. The transcript is spliced from 9 exons.